Molecule: ribosomal RNA, 306 nt
Filed under: Triticum aestivum (bread wheat)
Lineage: Eukaryota; Viridiplantae; Streptophyta; Magnoliopsida; Poales; Poaceae
Description: partial small subunit ribosomal RNA
Source: RNAcentral
AUGGCGUCCUCUAUCUCCGGGCAACGUCCACAGAAGGACUCGAGAGUCGAGACUCGAGAAGCUCCUGCAUGCGCCACCGGGGACCGUCGCGCUGUCGGCGGCAACCGCAGACAUGGCGUGGAGAGGAGAGUGGGCGGUCCGGCAUCGGCGCAGGCGAAGAAGAGGCCCUCGAAUCGGCGGAGGCGACGCUCCUGCAGUCGCUGGCGACGUAGCAGGUGCUCCCUCAGGCGGACCCCUCUUCGUCCGGCAGGCUAUCCGGGUGCACGGCCGUCGCCGCGCACGUCAAUCUCGGCUUGCUGCCGAUGA